AAUGAACGUUGGCGGCGUGGAUUAGGCAUGCAAGUCGAGCGAGAAGUUUACUUCGGUAAAUGGACAGCGGCGAAAGGGACAGUAAUGUGUAGGUACCUACCCCCCGAUCUGGGAUAGCUGCGGGAAACUGCAGGUAAUACCGGAUAAUGUCUUCGGACCAAAGGUGUGAUUCCGUCAGGGGAGGGGCCUGCAUCCUAUUAGCUUGUUGGUGAGGUAAUGGCUCACCAAGGCAACGAUGGGUAGCGGGUGUGAGAGCAUGACCCGCGUCAUUGGGACUGAGACACUGCCCAGACAUCUACGGAUGGCUGCAGUCGAGAAUCUUCGGCAAUGGGCGAAAGCCUGACCGAGCGACGCCGCGUGCGGGAUGAAGGCCUUCGGGUUGUAAACCGCUGUCGUUGGGGAGGAAAUGCAAAAGGGUUAUCCCUUCUGUUUGACCGAUCCAAGGAGGAAGUACGGGCUAAGUUCGUGCCAGCAGCCGCGGUAAGACGAACCGUACGAACGUUAUUCGGAAUUACUGGGCUUAAAGGGUGCGUAGGCUGCACGGAAAGUUGGGUGUGAAAGCCCUCAGCUCAACUGAGGAAUUGCAUCCAAAACUGCCGU
Molecule: ribosomal RNA, 600 nt
Filed under: uncultured bacterium
Lineage: Bacteria
Description: bacterial SSU rRNA
Rfam family: Bacterial small subunit ribosomal RNA
Source: RNAcentral